AUCAAACUGUAAUCACUAUGUAUAACCAAAGCCAUACAGUAUGUAGUAUUGAAAUAGACAGCAUGAAGACUACUGAAGCUGCUCUGAUUACUAGAUGUAGAGGUGCCAUGAUAAAGGUCUUUACACAUGGGACACCAUGCUAAAGGGCAUCACACAUGGACCACCAUGCUAAAGGUCUUUACACAUGGACCACCAUGAUAAAGGUCUUUACACAUGGACACCAUGCUAAAGGGCAUCACACAUGGACACCAUGCUAAAGGACAUCACACAUGGACACCAUGCUAAAGGGCAUCACACAUGGACACCAUGCUAAAGGGCAUCAUGAUAAUGGUCUUUACACAUGGACAUCAUGAUAAAGGGCAUCAUGAUAAAGCGCAUCAUGAUAAAGGUAUUUACACAUGGACACCAUGCUAAAGGGCAUCAUGAUAA
Molecule: long non-coding RNA, 429 nt
Organism: Oncorhynchus tshawytscha (Chinook salmon)
Lineage: Eukaryota; Metazoa; Chordata; Actinopteri; Salmoniformes; Salmonidae
Source: Ensembl